CUAGGGGAACCGGACAUAACAAAUGGUGCCCCCCUCUUUUCCCCACUCCCAAGGACGACCAGGCACACAGGGCUGCAGUCUAGCAUAAGGUAAUAGGCCUAUCUCACAAAAAUCGGAAAUGACGUCACACCGGGUAAACAUUCUUCCGGCGUAGUCAUUUUUGUAUUGCCGUCAAUGCAAAAAUGGAUCAUUUCUUCGCCACUUCCCUGGUGGGUAUUCCCAAAUUGCGAUUCGAAGAUGUGCAGAAGAUUGUGGAGACACACUCGGCAACACCACAGCCCAGGCUGACAAAGGGGUACAAGUUUUUUGUGGAGGAGUUUGUACACAAUUAUCAAGAUCACCCUGGAGGCUGUUGGACAACUGGGUCUCUCAGAGCUGUAGCUGUGCUGCGGGCAAAGGCUUCUGUAGCCAUAUAACCGCUCUGCUGUUCCAGACAGCGCAUUAUGUGCAGCUGGGCCUUGAUGUGGUUCCACCUUCCCUGGCCUGUACCAGUCAACCACAGAUGUGGCAUCGACCUCGAACCCACGUGUGCUGUUGUGUCCUCUGUUCAAAUCAUACACUUCAGUAUUUGUCUAGAGUAUAUGAGCAUUUCCUGUAUUGUUGUUCGCCUCAGGGAAUCCAUCCAGAGGCUGUGAGUGACCUGGUGGUGAAGAAACCCAAGUCGGUGGGGAAGACUGGAGUCAAGUCCACACUCUACAGAGCGUAUGCUGGUAAGACAUUUGUUUUGCAAUUUGCACUCUGUUAAACUUGCUCAUUAUGAAAAGAUGCAUAUUAGAAUACAUCUGUUAUCACUACAAUAUAAAAAAAAAGUCACAUUUUUAUUUGACGUUUCGCCCUUUGAUGUCCCACAUCCUAGAGGGAAUAUCCAGCUUGGAGUUGGUACCAUCUCAGCUGUGCUGACCUGGAAGAUGUCAGCAAUGACCUGUUCUUUAAGGCCAGUUGCUACUCUACAACAGUAGAUGAAAAACUCAUCAAUGACUGGAAUCUUCCUUGAAGGGCGUGGUGUUGGAAUCGCCUCUUGUCCAAUCCUCUGUGCUUUGCUCCAAUAAAGAAUAUAUUGUGUUGAGGGGCAAAACAGACUCCCAAAACACUUGAAACACUUCUUGAGAUGGAAACCGAGUAUAAUAUGUCAUGGUCUGAUCAGACACACAAAACCUGUUGAGGACAGUUUGUGGCCCCAUGGACAUUUCUUGCAGCCUUGCCUCCAGCUCAGCAAUAUACUCCAGGGCAUCAUCCAGUGCACCUACAAAAAAAGAAGACAAAUCAGUCUUCAUUACCAUUCAUUCGUAUUCACCCUUUCUUUUUAUUGUAUUGUUAUUCUGUAUACUUAAGUUUAUUUAUAUUUAUUAUUAUUACAUUUAUUUGUACUGUUUUCUGUUUUUCUUUUUUAUGUAUUAACUAUAGGUUGAGUGUUGUACAUAGAGUAAAAACCAAAGUCAAAUUCCUCGUUUUUUUGCAAACCUGGCCAAUAAAGCUGAAUCUGAAUUAAUAUGCAACCCCAGUUUAACAGUACGUCUGAUGUUGAUUGAAUGUUUUAACGUUAACCAUGCCAUGUUUGGCAAAAUUAUACAAUAGCCCAACAAGUGUUGAACACAAAUAACAGACAUAACAGCUAGUUAGCACAUCUACUUACCGGCAGGGGGGCGUCUCGCGUAGUCAUGUUCCCCGGUACCUCUCCGGUCCGUUUGUGUUUUGUCCUCUCCUUCAGCUUUUCGAGCUGACACCCGUUUAUACACGGGUGUUUUUUUCGGGGCUGUGGUGUAGCUGUUCCAGUCAAAACGACUAGGAACAGCUCCAGUAUUCACCAGUGUACUCCCCUUCUGAAUUACGAAAUUAACUCCUUCAUUCCGUCUGAUCGCCACUGCUGUAUUGGGUAUUAUUUGGGAAGUCGUGGAAAUGUAAAUACGGUUGUUUUUGUUUUGAAUUGGCGCAUAGAGGUACACAACAGAAGCUUUUGUUUUUUGACCGCGCCAUUGUCAAAUAUCAUGGACUACGCUACCGGAAGUCACUUUACCCGGUGAAGGCAAAAUCGAACGCCGAACCAGGAAGUUGUGAGAUAGGCCUAUUUAUUCAAUAGGCCUUAUGCGCAACAUUCUUCCGGGUUCCACAAAACAGUGG
This is a long non-coding RNA of Gadus morhua (Atlantic cod), 2118 nucleotides long. NCBI's taxonomy places the organism in Eukaryota, Metazoa, Chordata, Actinopteri, Gadiformes, Gadidae. The record is from Ensembl.